UACGUAGGGAGCAAGCGUUGUUCGGAUUUACUGGGCGUAAAGGGCGCGUAGGCGGCAUGUUAAGUCAGCUGUGAAAUCUCCGAGCUUAACUCGGAACUGUCAGCUGAUACUGAUGUGCUUGAGUGCGGAAGGGGCAAUCGGAAUUCUUGGUGUAGCGGUGAAAUGCGUAGAUAUCAAGAGGAACACCUGAGGUGAAGACGGGUUGCUGGGCCGACACUGACGCUGAGUGCGCGAAAGCCAGGGGAGCAAACAGG
Molecule: ribosomal RNA, 254 nt
Filed under: uncultured bacterium
Lineage: Bacteria
Description: partial 16S ribosomal RNA
Rfam family: Bacterial small subunit ribosomal RNA
Source: RNAcentral